This 504-nucleotide ribosomal RNA is filed under the name uncultured bacterium. RNAcentral describes it as "partial 16S ribosomal RNA". It matches the Rfam family "Bacterial small subunit ribosomal RNA", at positions 28 to 523 of the family's 1533-position model. The record is from RNAcentral.
GAUAACCGCUAGCGGCAGGCUUAACACAUGCAAGUCGAGGGGCAGCAUAGAUUGUAGCAAUACAAUUGGUGGCGACCGGCGCACGGGUGCGUAACGCGUAUGCAACCUACCCGUCACAGGGGGAUAAUCCGGAGAAAUCUGGCCUAAUACCCCAUAACAUAUGGAUCGGCAUCGGUUCAUGUCGAAAUUUUCGGUGGUGACGGAUGGGCAUGCGUAGCAUUAGCUUGUUGGUGAGGUAACGGCUCACCAAGGCGACGAUGCUUAGGGGGACUGAGAGGUUUUCCCCCCACACUGGUACUGAGACACGGACCAGACUCCUACGGGAGGCAGCAGUGAGGAAUAUUGGUCAAUGGGCGCAAGCCUGAACCAGCCAUGCCGCGUGCAGGAUGACGGCUCUAUGAGUUGUAAACUGCUUUUGUACGAGGGUAAAGUGGGUUACGUGUAACCUUUUGAAAGUAUCGUACGAAUAAGGAUCGGCUAACUCCGUGCCAGCCGCCGCCGUAA